RNAcentral lists this long non-coding RNA (263 nucleotides) under Elaeis guineensis (African oil palm). Its description in RNAcentral is "long non-coding RNA (EGUI_LNC072666)". Lineage: Eukaryota; Viridiplantae; Streptophyta; Magnoliopsida; Arecales; Arecaceae. The record is from RNAcentral.
GCUAGUGAACCUGUAUAAUCGUAUAGCUUUCUUGUAAGCAUCGAAUGCUGCAAUGUAUUCUACUUCAUAAUUUGAAUUUGGCUAUAUUUUUUUGUUUGAAAUCUUUUCAGCAGAUUGCUUCAUUAUUUAGGAUAAAGAUAUAUUCCGAUACAUUCUUGUUAUUAUUAUAUUCAACUAAAAAUUAGAGUCAUACUCCACAAAUUUUAAGUCAGAUUCUCCAUAACCGAGUCACCGGUCCUUAGUAUUUCUCAAAUACUUAAGGA